RNAcentral lists this long non-coding RNA (1459 nucleotides) under Bos grunniens (domestic yak). Its description in RNAcentral is "lncRNA (ENSBGRG00000020342.1)". The record is from RNAcentral. Lineage: Eukaryota; Metazoa; Chordata; Mammalia; Artiodactyla; Bovidae.
AUGCUAUUUAAGCUGUAUCAUCAGCAACCUAAAGGGUUGUCAAUUAAUCCUUAUUCAUCUGGCCUCUGCAAAUUUGUAUUUAAUUCUUUAGGUUUUCCAAAUAACCCCUGUAUCUUAUCUUUCUUCUUUGCAAAAAUGAAUGCAAUGUUUUGUUCAAUGAUCCCAAGUCGACUUGAAACUCAAGUUGUCAUCUUGGCUUGCAGAUCUGUGUCCUUCAUUGUACCAGCCAGUCACAUGGAUGGAUCUAGGGAAUUACUUUACGUGUCACGAAGUUCACAGGGCAUAUUCUCCACAAACAAUGUAUGUUACAUGAAAAAAAAAAAAGGCACCUCUUGUUUUCAACUGCAAUCAGGUCUUGGUGCCUAUCAUCAUGAAAUCCUCCUAGCAUUCAGGAAUGGGCAAUCUAUCAGCAGAAAUUAUGCAGACUCGAGUUUUGAUGUCCUGGCUGAACUUUGAGGAAUGGUCUGUUUUUUAUUCUCAUUUAAUAAAGUAUAGUUGUGGUAGCUCAAGACGAAAAUGAAGUUCGGGUGCCAAAUAUUAUUGUUUUUUUUCCUGGUGGCUUCAAUUGUGUUAAUAAAGAAAACAUGCUCUUGCCAAUAUAUAAAGUAUUCGCCAAGUUUGGAUUUUUCUUCCAAACUGAACUGCAAAUAACCUGCUUUCCUUGGCUAAAUCUACUUAAGAAAUAAACUUAAAAUGUGUCUUUAAUCAGAUAGGACCAGAUCAUUACAUCUUAGGAUUUAAGAGAAAAGUUAAACUAUGAAGAAGGGGACUUAGAGGCUAUUUUAACUGCUCCCCAAAGGUCCAUAUACACAUAUUGUUUUAUAACAUGCUUUAAAAAAGUUAAUAUAUAGUGAACAUAUUUCCACACAUUCAAUCAUCUUGAAGAGUCAGAAUGUAAUGAAUACACAGAACUCCCUUGUAUGACUAUUCCACAUUUUUUUAACCUAAUUCCUAACUAUUGGAUAUUUAGGUAUUAAUUUUCUUACAAUUAUGUGUAAGUAUUGUAAUCAUCAUUUGAUCAAUGUGGUGUAUGCUGUGGUAAAUAUUCUUAAGAUAAAUCUUUGUUCACACCCAUGACCAUUAUCUUAGGAUAAAGCGUAGACAAAAAUUGACAAGUCAAAUGUUAUAAACAUUUUAAAGCCAUGUGCUACAUAUUCACAGAUAAUUUCAAUAUAUGAUAAUGGCUACUGACAAAAAUUGACAAGUCAAAUGUUAUAAACAUUUUAAAGCCAUGUGCUACAUAUUCACAGAUAAUUUCAAUAUAUGAUAAUGGUUACUGAAGGGAAAUUUAAAUUAACCCAAUAAAAAGCUAUGUAGAAAAAAAUCAUAAUAAUUGCAGUUUGGCAGCUAAAAUGUUUAUUAAAAUGGAGUCCAUGGAGGCAAAAGUAAUAAAGGGUAAUCUUCAGUGCUCAGAAAAAGAAUUGAAUAUUAUUCUUCUGGAGGGACAAAUUUAUUGGUA